This 153-nucleotide ribosomal RNA is filed under the name Tristoma integrum. RNAcentral's name for it is "5.8S ribosomal RNA". It matches the Rfam family "5.8S ribosomal RNA". From Rfam's summary of the family: 5.8S ribosomal RNA (5.8S rRNA) is a component of the large subunit of the eukaryotic ribosome. It is transcribed by RNA polymerase I as part of the 45S precursor that also contains 18S and 28S rRNA. The record is from RNAcentral. Lineage: Eukaryota; Metazoa; Platyhelminthes; Monogenea; Capsalidea; Capsalidae.
UACUCCUUGUAGUGGAUCACUCGGCUCGUAUGUCGAUGAAGAGUGCAGCAAAUUGUGAUAAGUAUUGCGAAAUGCUCACUGCUUCGAACAUCGACAGCUUGAACGCAAAUGGCAGCCAUGGUGUUAAUCAUGGCUACGUUUGGUCGAGCGCUG